UACGGAGGGUGCAAGCGUUGCUCGGAAUUAUUGGGCGUAAAGGGUAGGUAGGUGGUCUCAUUUGUCUGGGGUGAAAGCCUUGAGCUUAACUCAAGAAGUGCCCCAGAAACGGUGAGACUAGAGUUCUGGAGAGGGUCGUGGAAUUCCCGGUGUAGCGGUGAAAUGCGUAGAGAUCGGGAGGAACACCAGAGGCGAAGGCGGCGACCUGGACGGAUACUGACACUCAACUACGAAAGCGUGGGUAGCAAACAGG
This 253-nucleotide ribosomal RNA is filed under the name uncultured bacterium. RNAcentral describes it as "partial 16S ribosomal RNA". It matches the Rfam family "Bacterial small subunit ribosomal RNA", at positions 524 to 776 of the family's 1533-position model. The record is from RNAcentral.